UAAAGAAUUUCGGUCAUCGAUGGGGAUGCGUUCCAUUAGCUUGUUGGCGGGGUAACGGCCCACCAAGGCAUCGAUGGAUAGGGGUUCUGAGAGGAAGGUCCCCCACAUUGGAACUGAGACACGGUCCAAACUCCUACGGGAGGCAGCAGUGAGGAAUAUUGGUCAAUGGGCGCUAGCCUGAACCAGCCAAGUAGCGUGAAGGAUGACUGCCCUAUGGGUUGUAAACUUCUUUUAUAUGGGAAUAAAGUGCAGUAUGUAUACUGCUUUGCAUGUACCCUAUGAAUAAGGAUCGGCUAACUCCGUGCCAGCAGCCGCGGUAAUACGGAGGAUCCGAGCGUUAUCCGGAUUUAUUGGGUUUAAAGGGAGCGUAGGCGGGUUGUUAAGUCAGUUGUGAAAGUUUGCGGCUCAACCGUAAAAUUGCAGUUGAUACUGGCAUCCUUGAGUACAGUAGAGGUAGGCGGAAUUCGUGGUGUAGCGGUGAAAUGCUUAGAUAUCACGAAGAACUCCGAUUGCGAAGGCAGCCUGCUGGACUGUAACUGACGCUGAUGCUCGAAAGUGUGGGUAUCAAACAGGAUUAGAUACCCUGGUAGUCCACACAGUAAACGAUGAAUACUCGCUGUUUGCGAUAUACAGUAA
Molecule: ribosomal RNA, 636 nt
Filed under: uncultured bacterium
Lineage: Bacteria
Description: bacterial SSU rRNA
Rfam family: Bacterial small subunit ribosomal RNA
Source: RNAcentral